Molecule: ribosomal RNA, 239 nt
Filed under: uncultured bacterium
Lineage: Bacteria
Description: partial 16S ribosomal RNA
Rfam family: Bacterial small subunit ribosomal RNA
Source: RNAcentral
CGUGAGUAACCUGCCCUGGAGUGGGGAAUAACAGCUGGAAACAGCUGCUAAUACCGCAUAAUGCAGUUGGGCCGCAUGGCUCUGACUGCCAAAGAUUUAUCGCUCUGGGAUGGACUCGCGUCUGAUUAGCUAGUUGGUGGGGCAACGGCCCACCAAGGCGACGAUCAGUAGCCGGACUGAGAGGUUGACCGGCCACAUUGGGACUGAGACACGGCCCAGACUCCUACGGAAGGCAGCAG